CUAUUAUAACUGUGCAUAGUAUGUGUGUGCGUGUCAACUCGUGUAGCCAAGCGAUUUGCGCCCCCACACGACGCAACACGACACGGCACGACACGCACAUGCACGUCGAAAUCUGUACAAAGCGUUAAAGCUCAGAGCGGCUUCACUUACCAACUCUCCUGGCUUCCAGCUCUCCGUGAACAAGACUCACCUUCCCUGGUCGACAUAUGUACUACACACUGGGUACUGUCUGUCCCUGUCCCUGUCCCUGUCCCGGUUCCUGCCUCUGGCCGGUCCUGCUCCCGGUCUCGGUCUCGUUUGUUCUAUUUCUUGCUCUAACUGGGUGUUCAACUAAGUGCGUGUGUGUCUGCCUGGGUGUGCGAGGGUGUGUGGUUGUGAAAAUUUUAUAUAAUUACACUUUGCGCAUUUUCACAAUGAAGUUACAAUGUUUUAAUUAAACCAUUGGAAAGCCAAAUAACUCUUGCUUGCUGUGGAAUGGCGGCAUGGGGCAAAAGACAAACCCGUAUGUCUGGAAUGGAACCACACCAGAACGAGAAAAGAGAAGAGGAACAAGCGGAAUUUGACUAAGAACACAAAUCAAGGGUAAAAGAACAGAGAGAGGCUGAAAUCGAGUUGCUAGAUCACAGCACUUUAGCAAUAAGAGCACAGAAAAGUCAGCUAUGUCAACAGCAUUGAAAGCAAUACAAAUAUUUUAUUCGAAGCUGAGAUGUGACGAAUCGCAGAUUAUCGAUUGCUACACGUUUCAUAUACGCAGAACUGCAUAAUAUGUACAUUUUAGCUUCGGUCUUCUUAGUAAAUACUGUAACAAUGACCUGUUUAUUCAACAAUCACAAAAAUAAAUAUGUUUUUACUUGAUCUUGCUUAGGGCUUCGAGACUUGCAAGUUUCUACCGAGCCUUCAUGCUGUACGGUUACACCACGUUGAUGUUCAUCUUGCUGAUCGUCCUGUUUGUGGAGAGUAGGCAUCACUGCGUUAUCCAAAACUCCAUUUGCACCAAGCACACUGAAUGUUGUUCCGAGUUGUUUCGUUGCAUAUUUUACAAAUGUAAGAAAAGGAAGACGAAGAAGUUAGAACGAAGCGAUGGCGAGUGCAAGAACUCGCAGGAAUUGCCUAAAACUGACGACAAAGAAGAAAGCGCGGGAUCGCCAGACCUAGAGGCAGAGAGAGGGGGAGACAAUCGAGAGAUGCUUUCGGCUCUCGGCAGCGAAAUUGAGGAAUAAUUUCACUUUACACAAUAAAGCUUAACCAAAAUGGUGGGACAAUUUUACCUCACUCAAAAUA
This 1281-nucleotide long non-coding RNA is filed under the name Drosophila guanche. Lineage: Eukaryota; Metazoa; Arthropoda; Insecta; Diptera; Drosophilidae. The record is from RNAcentral.